GCCCAGCUUGCUGGGCGGAUUAGUGGCGAACGGGUGAGUAAUACGUGAGUAACCUGCCCUUGACUCUGGGAUAAGCCUGGGAAACUGGGUCUAAUACUGGAUACUACCUCUUGCCGCAUGGUGGGUGGUGGAAAGGGUUUUACUGGUUUUGGAUGGGCUCACGGCCUAUCAGCUUGUUGGUGGGGUAAUGGCUCACCAAGGCGACGACGGGUAGCCGGCCUGAGAGGGUGACCGGCCACACUGGGACUGAGACACGGCCCAGACUCCUACGGGAGGCAGCAGUGGGGAAUAUUGCACAAUGGGCGGAAGCCUGAUGCAGCGACGCCGCGUGAGGGAUGACGGCCUUCGGGUUGUAAACCUCUUUCAGUAGGGAAGAAGCGAGAGUGACGGUACCUGCAGAAGAAGCGCCGGCUAACUACGUGCCAGCAGCCGCGGUAAUACGUAGGGCGCAAGCGUUGUCCGGAAUUAUUGGGCGUAAAGAGCUCGUAGGCGGUUUGUCGCGUCUGCUGUGAAAGCCCGGGGCUCAACCCCGGGUCUGCAGUGGGU
RNAcentral lists this ribosomal RNA (546 nucleotides) under Kocuria rosea. RNAcentral describes it as "bacterial SSU rRNA". It matches the Rfam family "Bacterial small subunit ribosomal RNA", at positions 73 to 631 of the family's 1533-position model. The record is from RNAcentral. Lineage: Bacteria; Bacillati; Actinomycetota; Actinomycetes; Micrococcales; Micrococcaceae.